Molecule: ribosomal RNA, 383 nt
Filed under: uncultured bacterium
Lineage: Bacteria
Description: bacterial SSU rRNA
Rfam family: Bacterial small subunit ribosomal RNA
Source: RNAcentral
AUUGAACGCUGGCGGCAUGCCUUACACAUGCAAGUCGAACGGUAACGCGGGGCAACCUGGCGACGAGUGGCGAACGGGUGAGUAAUGCAUCGGAACGUGCCCAUUAGUGGGGGAUAGCCCGGCGAAAGCCGGAUUAAUACCGCAUACGACCUACGGGUGAAAGCAGGGGAUCGCAAGACCUUGCGCUAUUGGAGCGGCCGAUGUCAGAUUAGGUUGUUGGUGGGGUAAAAGCCACCAAGCCGACGAUCUGUAGCUGGUCUGAGAGGACGACCAGCCACACUGGGACUGAGACACGGCCCAGACUCCUACGGGAGGCAGCAGUGGGGAAUUUUGGACAAUGGGCGCAAGCCUGAUCCAGCCAUGCCGCGUGCGGGAAGAAGGCC